GACAAAAUAACCAUUCUGUAUAUUGGAUAUUGACAAAAUAGCCACAACAAUAUUCUGAUUUAGAAUAAUACUCCUUUUCUGCUGUAUAUUUGCAAGCUUUUGAUCAAAUAUUACGGGAGCUCAAUAGAAAUCAAAAUGAAUCUUUAUUUUACCACAAGCAUUACUGAUGCCUAUGCUUGUUUUUCUUACAAUCCAUUAGCUUUUUAUGACGCAUUUAUACUUUUUCAGUUUGUUGUUUAUUACUGAGAAGUGGCUGUCUUGCCAGAAAACUGCUGUUCUCAGCUGUAUCCACAAUGACUAAUAGUGAGUGGAAGUGCAGUGGAUAAAAGCAAAUGUGUCUUCUCUGUAUCUUUUUUCAUCCAUUGACUGAAAAACAGGAGGAUGCAGAAGAUGAAAGAAAAUACAAUCCCUGAAAGAUCAUGAAGAAGCUCUCUUAAUCAGACAAAAAACCCCAUAGGGGAUUUUUUUUUUCAUUAUUGCACUCUGCUUCUAUGAGUUUAAAUUUGUUUUACACUUUACAUAGAAAUAAACCUAGGUUUCUUAUUAGAAGAUAGACUGUGAUACUGAAAGCAAAUAUAAUGGUACAUGUUACCUGGCUGCAUUUCAAACAGGUGAUAGUAACACUACACUGAAGCACCAAAGGUGAUUCUUGUUGGCCAGGCCAGAGCUCCUUGUGAAAAAAGUUAGGCCCACUGGUAUGUCUGAAGCGUCCUAGCUGGAUGGACAGAACCCCAUGAGCUGUUUUGAUUAGACUGAAUUUAAAACACCUUGGUGCCCAGUAAUGAGGAUAUUUUCAUAUUUAGCAUAACGUGAUUUGGUGUGUGGCUUGGAUUUGAUAAAUCUUCACUGAGCUAAUGGCUGAUUGGAUUUACUUGGCCUGAAUGGAAAAUAAAAAUCACCUCUGACCU
This 908-nucleotide small RNA is filed under the name Pongo abelii (Sumatran orangutan). Its description in RNAcentral is "sense intronic". Lineage: Eukaryota; Metazoa; Chordata; Mammalia; Primates; Hominidae. The record is from RNAcentral.